This is a long non-coding RNA of Suricata suricatta (meerkat), 457 nucleotides long. RefSeq lists it as uncharacterized. Lineage: Eukaryota; Metazoa; Chordata; Mammalia; Carnivora; Herpestidae. The transcript has 2 exons. The record is from RefSeq and is a predicted model, not a curated record.
CAGCCUCCCUUGCGUUGGGUUGGGGCCACGUGAGGAAUCCUGGCGAACUGGCUGUAAGCAGAAGUGAGACAGGCUUCUAAAGAGACCAACCACCUUAUUUUCUUCUGAAGCAGACAAGCUGGACGUCCUAGAUCAAAUGUCAGCAAAUCCAUGGGAUGUACUCAGAGCGACAGACGCUGAACUGGUGAAGGUACUCCGGAGCUAUGAAGACAUGAAAAGCAGAAUACCAUCCUGGAAAUGUCAGCCCAAACACGUCUCCUGUGGUUUUACUCAGCCGCUAGACCAGGAGAAUCCCAAGUCUACUUGUCUUGCUUGUGACCCUGGAGUCCCACCGCUGGGGGCUCCCAGAUCCAUUUUUACUCACACUGGGACAUCACAACCCCUUUUAAUCUGUUCUUCGCUUGGAAAUUUGGUGUGUUAAUAGUCCCUCCUUCCUAAAGCGAAGUGAUAUGAUGUA